RNAcentral lists this ribosomal RNA (301 nucleotides) under uncultured bacterium. RNAcentral's name for it is "partial 16S ribosomal RNA". It matches the Rfam family "Bacterial small subunit ribosomal RNA", at positions 509 to 807 of the family's 1533-position model. The record is from RNAcentral.
CAGCAGCCGCGGGAAUACGUAGGGUGCGAGCGUUAAUCGGAAUUACUGGGCGUAAAGCGUGCGCAGGCGGUUGUGCAAGACAGAUGUGAAAUCCCCGAGCUUAACUUGGGAACUGCAUUUGUGACUGCACGGCUAGAGUGCGGCAGAGGGGGAUGGAAUUCCGCGUGUAGCAGUGAAAUGCGUAGAUAUGCGGAGGAACACCGAUGGCGAAGGCAAUCCCCUGGGCCUGCACUGACGCUCAUGCACGAAAGCGUGGGGAGCAAACAGGAUUAGAUACCCGCGUAGUCCCUGUCUCUUAUAC